This 268-nucleotide ribosomal RNA is filed under the name uncultured prokaryote. RNAcentral's name for it is "partial 16S ribosomal RNA". It matches the Rfam family "Bacterial small subunit ribosomal RNA", at positions 524 to 792 of the family's 1533-position model. The record is from RNAcentral.
UACGGAGGAUCCGAGCGUUAUCCGGAUUUAUUGGGUUUAAGGGUGCGCAGGCGGGAUGUUAAGUCGGCGGUGAAAUUUUGCAGCUCAACUGUAAAAGUGCCUUCGAUACUGGCUUUCUUGAGUGUGGAUGAAGUAGGCGGAAUUUGUGGUGUAGCGGUGAAAUGCUUAGAUAUCACGAGGAACUCCGAUUGCGCAGGCAGCUUACUAAACCACUACUGACGCUCAUGCACGAAGGCGUGGGGAUCAAACAGGAUUAGAUACCCCGGUA